This 639-nucleotide ribosomal RNA is filed under the name Phyllosticta minima. Its description in RNAcentral is "eukaryotic LSU rRNA". It matches the Rfam family "Eukaryotic large subunit ribosomal RNA", at positions 1 to 654 of the family's 3401-position model. The record is from RNAcentral. Lineage: Eukaryota; Fungi; Ascomycota; Dothideomycetes; Botryosphaeriales; Phyllostictaceae.
UUGACCUCGGAUCAGGUAGGGAUACCCGCUGAACUUAAGCAUAUCAAUAAGCGGAGGAAAAGAAACCAACAGGGAUUGCCUCAGUAACGGCGAGUGAAGCGGCAAUAGCUCAAAUUUGAAAGCUGGCGCCUUCGGCGUCCGCGUUGUAAUUUGUAGAGGAUGCUUCGGCGAGGACUCCUGCCUAAGUCCCCUGGAACGGGGCGUCACAGAGGGUGAGAAUCCCGUACGUGGCGGGCGGUCCGAGCCAUGUGAAGCUCCUUCGACGAGUCGAGUUGUUUGGGAAUGCAGCUCUAAAUGGGAGGUAAAUUUCUUCUAAAGCUAAAUAUUGGCCAGAGACCGAUAGCGCACAAGUAGAGUGAUCGAAAGAUGAAAAGCACUUUGGAAAGAGAGUUAAAAAGUACGUGAAAUUGUUGAAAGGGAAGCGCUUGCAACCAGACUCGCUCGCAGUUGCUCAGCCGGCCUCUUGGCCGGUGUACUCUUCUGCGAUCGGGCCAGCAUCAGUUCGGGCGGCCGGAUAAAGGCAUCGGGAAUGUAGCACCCUUCGGGGUGUGUUAUAGCCCGGCGCGGAAUGCGGCCAGCCUGGACUGAGGAUCUCGCUUCGGCAAGGAUGCUGGCGUAAUGGUUGUAAGCGGCCCGUCU